GAUGAACGCUAGCUACAGGCUUAACACAUGCAAGUCGAGGGGAAACGACAUCGAAAGCUUGCUUUUGAUGGGCGUCGACCGGCGCACGGGUGAGUAACGCGUAUCCAACCUGCCCACCACUUGGGGAUAACCUUGCGAAAGUAAGACUAAUACCCAAUGACGUCUCUAGAAGACAUCUGAAAGAGAUUAAAGAUUUAUCGGUGAUGGAUGGGGAUGCGUCUGAUUAGCUUGUUGGCGGGGUAACGGCCCACCAAGGCGACGAUCAGUAGGGGUUCUGAGAGGAAGGUCCCCCACAUAGGAACUGAGACACGGUCCAAACUCCUACGGGAGGCAGCAGUGAGGAAUAUUGGUCAAUGGACGAGAGUCUGAACCAGCCAAGUAGCGUGCAGGAUGACGGCCCUAUGGGUUGUAAACUGCUUUUAUAAGGGAAUAAAGUGAGUCUCGUGAGACUUUUUGCAUGUACCUUAUGAAUAAGGACCGGCUAAUUCCGUG
This 492-nucleotide ribosomal RNA is filed under the name uncultured bacterium. RNAcentral's name for it is "partial 16S ribosomal RNA". It matches the Rfam family "Bacterial small subunit ribosomal RNA", at positions 28 to 507 of the family's 1533-position model. The record is from RNAcentral.